RNAcentral lists this ribosomal RNA (253 nucleotides) under uncultured bacterium. RNAcentral's name for it is "partial 16S ribosomal RNA". It matches the Rfam family "Bacterial small subunit ribosomal RNA", at positions 524 to 776 of the family's 1533-position model. The record is from RNAcentral.
UACAGAGGGUGCGAGCGUUAAUCGGAAUUACUGGGCGUAAAGCGUGCGCAGGCGGUUGUGCAAGACAGAUGUGAAAUCCCCGGGCUUAACCUGGGAAUUGCAUUUGUGACUGCACGGCUAGAGUGUGGCAGAGGGGGGUAGAAUUCCACGUGUAGCAGUGAAAUGCGUAGAUAUGUGGAGGAAUACCGAUGGCGAAGGCAGCCCCCUGGGAUAACACUGACGCUCAUGCACGAAAGCGUGGGGAGCAAACAGG